AAUUUUGGAUAAUGGGCGAAAGCCUGAUGCAGCAACGCCGCGUGAGUGAUGAAGGCCUUCGGGUCGUAAAGCUCUUUGUUCAGGGCUGAUAAUGACAGUACCUGUAAAACAGGCCACGGCGAACUAAGUGCCAGCAUCCGCGGUAAUAAGCAGGUGGCGAGCGUUGUCCGGACUUACUGGGCGUAAAGGUUGCGUAGGUGGAUACUUAAGUGGGAAGUGAAAUCCCCGGGCUCAACCCGGGAACUGCAUUCUAAACUGGGUAUCUAGAGUGCAGGAGAGGAAAGCGGAAUUCCUAGUGUAGCGGUGAAAUGCGUAGAUAUUAGGAGGAACGCCAGUGGCGAAGGCGGCUUUCUGGACUGUAACUGACACUGAGGCAUGAAAGCGUGGGUAGCAAACAGG
RNAcentral lists this ribosomal RNA (399 nucleotides) under uncultured bacterium. Its description in RNAcentral is "partial 16S ribosomal RNA". It matches the Rfam family "Bacterial small subunit ribosomal RNA", at positions 360 to 776 of the family's 1533-position model. The record is from RNAcentral.